CGGGUGAGUAACACGUAGGUAAUCUACCUUUGGAUUGGGAAUAACAACCGGAAACGGUUGCUAAUACCGAAUAAUGCAGCGGCACCUAAUGGUGACAGUUGUUAAAGCGGGGGAUCACAAGACCUCGCGUCUGAAGAGGAGCCUGCGGCAGAUUAGCUAGUUGGUAAGGUAACGGCUUACCAAGGCGAUGAUCUGUAGCCGGCCUGAGAGGGCGGUCGGCCACACUGACACUGACAUACGGGUCAGACUCCUACGGGAGGCAGCAGUCGGGAAUUUUGGGCAAUGGGCGAAAGCCUGACCCAGCAACGCCGCGUGAAGGAUGAAAUCCCUCGGGAUGUAAACUUCGCAAGAACGGGAAGAAUAAGUGAGAGUUAAUAUCUUUCACGAUGACGGUACUGUUUGUAAGCUCCGGCUAACUCCGUGCCAGCAGCCGCGGUAAUACGGGGGGAGCAAGCGUUGUUCGGAUUUACUGGGCGUAAAGGGCGCGUAGGCGGCCACCGCAAGUCGACUGUGAAAUCUCCGGGCUUAACCCGGAAAGGUCAGCCGAUACUGCGGGGCUAGAGUGCAGAAGGGGCAACUGGAAUUCUCGGUGUAGCGGUGAAAUGCGUAGAUAUCGAGAGGAAC
This 624-nucleotide ribosomal RNA is filed under the name uncultured bacterium. RNAcentral's name for it is "bacterial SSU rRNA". It matches the Rfam family "Bacterial small subunit ribosomal RNA", at positions 103 to 707 of the family's 1533-position model. The record is from RNAcentral.